GCAUAUCAAUAAGCGGAGGAAAAGAAACCAACAGGGAUUGCCUCAGUAACGGCGAGUGAAGCGGCAACAGCUCAAAUUUGAAAUCUGGCCUCUUUGGGGUCCGAGUUGUAAUUUGUAGAGGAUGUUUCGGGCACCGCUCCGGUUUAAAUUUCUUGGAACAGAAUGUCAAAGAGGGUGAGAACCCCGUCUUGGACCGGCAGUAGGGCCCAUGUGAAACUCCUUCGACGAGUCGAGUUGUUUGGGAAUGCAGCUCAAAAUGGGUGGUAAAUUUCAUCUAAAGCUAAAUAUUGGCCAGAGACCGAUAGCGCACAAGUAGAGUGAUCGAAAGAUGAAAAGCACUUUGAAAAGAGAGUUAAACAGUACGUGAAAUUGUUGAAAGGGAAGCGCUUGCAACCAGACUUGCGCGCGGCGGUUCCCCCUUCCUUUUGGUUGGGUUAUUCCGCCGUGUCCAGGCCAACAUCGGUUCUGGGGGUCGGUUAAAGGCCUGGGGAAUGUAUCUACCCUUCGGGCGUAGACUUAUAGCCCCGGGUGUCAUGCGACCUCCCGGGACCGAGGAACGCGCUUCGGCUCGGAUGUUGGCGUAAUGGUUGUCAGCGACCCGUCUUGAAACACGGACCAAGGAGUCUAACAUCUAUGCGAGUGUUUGGGUGUCAAACCCGGAACGCGGAAUGAAAGUGAACGGAGGUAGGAAGCUUCGGCUGCACUAUCGACCGAUCCUGAUGUCUUCGGAUGGAUUUGAGUAAGAGCAUAGCUGUUGGGACCCGAAAGAUGGUGAACUAUGCCUGAAUAGGGUGAAGCCAGAGGAAACUCUGGUGGAGGCUCGCAGCGGUUCUGACGUGCAAAUCGAUCGUCAAAUUUGGGUAUAGGGGCGAAAGACUAAUCGAACCAUCUAGAAGCUGGUU
This 902-nucleotide ribosomal RNA is filed under the name Exophiala dermatitidis. Its description in RNAcentral is "LSU rRNA". It matches the Rfam family "Eukaryotic large subunit ribosomal RNA", at positions 38 to 956 of the family's 3401-position model. The record is from RNAcentral. Lineage: Eukaryota; Fungi; Ascomycota; Eurotiomycetes; Chaetothyriales; Herpotrichiellaceae.